RNAcentral lists this ribosomal RNA (468 nucleotides) under uncultured bacterium. Its description in RNAcentral is "partial 16S ribosomal RNA". It matches the Rfam family "Bacterial small subunit ribosomal RNA", at positions 28 to 507 of the family's 1533-position model. The record is from RNAcentral.
GAUGAACGCUGGCGGCGUGCUUAACACAUGCGAGUCGAACGGUAACGGCGUAGCUUGCUCUGCUGGAUCAGUGGCGAACGGGUGAGUAACACGUGAGCAAUCUGCCCUUGACUUUGGGAUAAGCGCUGGAAACGGAGUCUAAUACUGGAUACGAGCUGCGAUGCCAUUUUCAGCAGCUGGAAAUCAGUUCGGUCAGGGAUGAGCUCGCGGGCUAUCAGCUUGUUGGUGAGGUAAUGGCUGACCAAGGCGUCGACGGGUCGCCGGCCUGAGAGGGUGACCGGCCACACUGGGACUGAGACACGGCCCAGACUCCAACGGGAGGCAGCAGGGGGGAAUAUGGCACAAUGGUCGAAAGCCGGAUGCAGCAACGCCGCGGUAGGGACGACGGCCUGCGGGGUGUAAACCUCCUUUAGCAGGGAAGCAGCGAAAGUGACGGUACCUGCAGAAAAAGCGCCGGCUAACUACGUG